This 134-nucleotide small nucleolar RNA is filed under the name Drosophila ananassae. Its description in RNAcentral is "snoRNA:GF26037". The record is from RNAcentral. Lineage: Eukaryota; Metazoa; Arthropoda; Insecta; Diptera; Drosophilidae.
CUGCAGGCAACGGAUUGAUUGUGGCUCGAUUGGUGGCACAGUUCAUCUCAACGCCUGCAGAGAGAAAAGUGACGGUUUCGUGAACUGAACAAGUUCACUUUAGAAAUGUUCGGUCUUUACUGUUGUCCACAACC